AUUGAACGCUGGCGGCAUGCCUUACACAUGCAAGUCGAACGGCAGCACGGGAGCAAUCCUGGUGGCGAGUGGCGAACGGGUGAGUAAUACAUCGGAACGUGCCCAAUCGUGGGGGAUAACGCAGCGAAAGCUGUGCUAAUACCGCAUACGAUCUACGGAUGAAAGCAGGGGAUCGCAAGACCUUGCGCGAAUGGAGCGGCCGAUGGCAGAUUAGGUAGUUGGUGAGGUAAAGGCUCACCAAGCCGUCGAUCUGUAGCUGGUCUGAGAGGACGACCAGCCACACUGGGACUGAGACACGGCCCAGACUCCUACGGGAGGCAGCAGUGGGGAAUUUUGGACAAUGGGCGAAAGCCUGAUCCAGCCAUGCCGCGUGCAGGAUGAAGGCCUUCGGGUUGUAAACUGCUUUUGUACGGAACGAAACGGCCUUUUCUAAUAAAGAGGGCUAAUGACGGUACCGUAAGAAUAAGCACCGGCUAACUACGUGCCAGCAGCCGCGGUAAUACGUAGGGUGCAAGCGUUAAUCGGAAUUACUGGGCGUAAAGCGUGCGCAGGCGGUUAUGUAAGACAGUUGUGAAAUUCCCGGGCUCAACCUGGGAACUGCAUCUGUGACUGCAUAGCUAGAGUACGGUAGAGGGGGAUGGAAUUCCGCGUGUAGCAGUGAAAUGCGUAGAUAUGCGGAGGAACACCGAUGGCGAAGGCAAUCCCCUGGACCUGUACUGACGCUCAUGCACGAAAGCGUGGGGAGCAAACAGG
RNAcentral lists this ribosomal RNA (753 nucleotides) under uncultured Comamonadaceae bacterium. Its description in RNAcentral is "bacterial SSU rRNA". It matches the Rfam family "Bacterial small subunit ribosomal RNA", at positions 28 to 776 of the family's 1533-position model. The record is from RNAcentral. Lineage: Bacteria; Pseudomonadati; Pseudomonadota; Betaproteobacteria; Burkholderiales; Comamonadaceae.